Molecule: ribosomal RNA, 496 nt
Filed under: uncultured bacterium
Lineage: Bacteria
Description: partial 16S ribosomal RNA
Rfam family: Bacterial small subunit ribosomal RNA
Source: RNAcentral
GAUGAACGCUGGCGGCGUGCCUAAUACAUGCAAGUCGAGCGAACGGACGAGAAGCUUGCUUCUCUGCUGUUAGCGGCGGACGGGUGAGUAACACGUGGAUAACCUACCUAUAAGACUGGGGUAACGUCGGGGAACCGGAGAUAAUACCCGAUAAUAUUUUGAACCGCAUGGUUCAAAAGUGAAAGACGGUCUUGCUGUCACUUAUAGGUGGAUCCGCGCUGCAUUGGCUAGUUGGUAGGGUAACGGCUUACCAAGGCAACGAUGCAUAGCCGACCUGAGAGAGUGAUCGUCCACACUGGAACUGAGAAACGGUCCAGACUCCUACGGAAGGAAGAGGUGGGGAUACUGCCGCAAUGGGCGAAAGCUUGUCGGAGCAACGCGGCGGUGGUGAUGAAGGUCUCCGGUUCGUAAAACCCUUUUAUUAGGGAAGAACAUAUUUGGAAGUAACUGUGCACAUCUGGCGGGAACCAAAUCAGAAGGCCACGGCAAACUACUG